Molecule: ribosomal RNA, 301 nt
Filed under: uncultured bacterium
Lineage: Bacteria
Description: partial 16S ribosomal RNA
Rfam family: Bacterial small subunit ribosomal RNA
Source: RNAcentral
CAGCAGCCGCGGUAAAACGGAGGGUGCAAGCGUUACUCGGAAUCACUGGGCGUAAAGGACGCGUAGGCGGAUUAUCAAGUCUCUUGUGAAAUCUAACGGCUCAACCGUUAAACUGCUUGGGAAACUGAUAAUCUAGAGUAAGGGAGAGGCAGAUGGAAUUCUUGGUGUAGGGGUAAAAUCCGUAGAUAUCAAGAAGAAUACCUAUUGCGAAGGCGAUCUGCUGGAACUUAACUGACGCUAAUGCGUGAAAGCGUGGGGAGCAAACAGGAUUAGAUACCCGAGUAGUCCCUGUCUCUUAUAC